Non-coding RNA from Schistosoma margrebowiei, 45 nucleotides. Lineage: Eukaryota; Metazoa; Platyhelminthes; Trematoda; Strigeidida; Schistosomatidae. The record is from Rfam.
AUUCAUCUAAUGAGUUCCAAAUAGGACGAAAUGCGCAUCAUGGAU